CUCGAGUGGCGAACGGGUGAGUAACACGUGGGUGAUCUGCCCUGCACUUUGGGAUAAGCCUGGGAAACUGGGUCUAAUACCGAAUACACCCUGCUGGUCGCAUGGCCUGGUGGGGGAAAGCUUUUGCGGUGUGGGAUGGGCCCGCGGCCUAUCAGCUUGUUGGUGGGGUGAUGGCCUACCAAGGCGACGACGGGUAGCCGGCCUGAGAGGGUGUCCGGCCACACUGGGACUGAGAUACGGCCCAGACUCCUACGGGAGGCAGCAGUGGGGAAUAUUGCACAAUGGGCGCAAGCCUGAUGCAGCGACGCCGCGUGAGGGAUGACGGCCUUCGGGUUGUAAACCUCUUUCAGCAGGGACGAAGCGCAAGUGACGGUACCUGCAGAAGAAGCACCGGCCAACUACGUGCCAGCAGCCGCGGUAAUACGUAGGGUGCGAGCGUUGUCCGGAAUUACUGGGCGUAAAGAGCUCGUAGGUGGUUUGUCGCGUUGUUCGUGAAAACUCACAGCUCAACUGUGGGCGUGCGGGCGAUACGGGCAGACUGGAGUACUGCAGGGGAGACUGGAAUUCCUGGUGUAGCGGUGGAAUGCGCAGAUAUCAGGAGGAACACCGGUGGCGAAGGCGGGUCUCUGGGCAGUAACUGACGCUGAGGAGCGAAAGCGUGGGGAGCGAACAGGAUUAGAUACCCUGGUAGUCCACGCCGUAAACGGUGGGUACUAGGUGUGGGUUUCCUUCCUUGGGAUCCGUGCCGUAGCUAACGCAUUAAGUACCCCGCCUGGGGAGUACGGCCGCAAGGCUAAAACUCAAAGAAAUUGACGGGGGCCCGCACAAGCGGCGGAGCAUGUGGAUUAAUUCGAUGCAACGCGAAGAACCUUACCUGGGUUUGACAUGCACAGGACGCUGGUAGAGAUAUCAGUUCCCUUGUGGUCUGUGUGCAGGUGGUGCAUGGCUGUCGUCAGCUCGUGUCGUGAGAUGUUGGGUUAAGUCCCGCAACGAGCGCAACCCUUGUCCUAUGUUGCCAGCGGGUUAUGCCGGGGACUCGUAGGAGACUGCCGGGGUCAACUCGGAGGAAGGUGGGGAUGACGUCAAGUCAUCAUGCCCCUUAUGUCCAGGGCUUCACACAUGCUACAAUGGCCGGUACAAAGGGCUGCGAUGCCGUGAGGUGGAGCGAAUCCUUUCAAAGCCGGUCUCAGUUCGGAUCGGGGUCUGCAACUCGACCCCGUGAAGUCGGAGUCGCUAGUAAUCGCAGAUCAGCAACGCUGCGGUGAAUACGUUCCCGGGCCUUGUACACACCGCCCGUCACGUCAUGAAAGUCGGUAACACCCGAAGCCAGUGGCCUAACCC
This 1341-nucleotide ribosomal RNA is filed under the name Mycolicibacterium sp. RNAcentral describes it as "bacterial SSU rRNA". It matches the Rfam family "Bacterial small subunit ribosomal RNA", at positions 90 to 1441 of the family's 1533-position model. Lineage: Bacteria; Bacillati; Actinomycetota; Actinomycetes; Mycobacteriales; Mycobacteriaceae. The record is from RNAcentral.